GACUGGCGGGGGGACGGCAGAAGAAGAGCACUGACCAGCACCGCAGUGAGGCCCCCGUGUUCGCACCGGGGGACCGGGUCUGGCCCUCGACCAGAAACCUGCCCCUCCGCCUGCCCUGCCAGAAGCUGGGGCCGCAGUGUGUGGGGCCAUUUAAAGUCCUGAGGAGGAUAAACGAGGUGUGUUACAGGUUACAACUUCCUACUUAUUAUCGUAUUAACCCCUCGUUUCAUGUGUCUCUCCUCAGGCCGGUGGUGGCUGGUCCCCUUCAAGAAGGUGAGGUGCCUGAGGUCCCUCCGCCCCCUCUGGACAUCGAGUCAAUGGACAUAGCGAGUCAUAAGCUCAAGAUUUGGCUUUCUUUACUUGGCUACAGAGUAUUCAGGAGCCUUGGGAAAACGUGGCAGCUGGAGCAGAGCAGGGAGUGGAUCAGUCACACAGGUACAGCAGCCAUGGGGUAG
This 455-nucleotide long non-coding RNA is filed under the name Oncorhynchus mykiss (rainbow trout). RNAcentral describes it as "lncRNA (ENSOMYG00000055993.1)". The record is from RNAcentral. Lineage: Eukaryota; Metazoa; Chordata; Actinopteri; Salmoniformes; Salmonidae.